GGGCGAUUGGCGCAGCGGGAGCGCAGGUCCCUUACAAGGACAAGGUCGGGGGUUCAAAUCCCUCAUCGCCCACCA
RNAcentral lists this transfer RNA (75 nucleotides) under Eggerthella lenta. Its description in RNAcentral is "tRNA-Val(tac)". It matches the Rfam family "tRNA". Rfam says of the family: Transfer RNA (tRNA) molecules are approximately 80 nucleotides in length. Their secondary structure includes four short double-helical elements and three loops (D, anti-codon, and T loops). Further hydrogen bonds mediate the characteristic L-shaped molecular structure. tRNAs have two regions of fundamental functional importance: the anti-codon, which is responsible for specific mRNA codon recognition, and the 3' end, to which the tRNAs corresponding amino acid is attached (by aminoacyl-tRNA synthetases). tRNAs cope with the degeneracy of the genetic code in two manners: having more than one tRNA (with a specific anti-codon) for a particular amino acid; and 'wobble' base-pairing, i.e. permitting non-standard base-pairing at the 3rd anti-codon position. RNAcentral also lists the same sequence under 16 other names. The record is from RNAcentral. Lineage: Bacteria; Bacillati; Actinomycetota; Coriobacteriia; Eggerthellales; Eggerthellaceae.